This 496-nucleotide ribosomal RNA is filed under the name uncultured bacterium. RNAcentral's name for it is "partial 16S ribosomal RNA". It matches the Rfam family "Bacterial small subunit ribosomal RNA", at positions 28 to 506 of the family's 1533-position model. The record is from RNAcentral.
GAUGAACGCUGGCGGCGUGCCUAAUACAUGCAAGUCGAGCGAACAGACGAGGAGCUUGCUCCUCUGACGUUAGCGGUGGACGGGUGAGUAACACGUGGAUAACCUACCUAUAAGACUGGGAUAACUUCGGGAAACCGGAGCUAAUACCGGAUAAUAUAUUGAACCGCAUGGUUCAAUAGUGAAAGACGGUUUUGCUGUCACUUAUAGAUGGAUCCGCGCCGCAUUAGCUAGUUGGUAAGGUAACGGCUUACCAAGGCAACGAUGCGUAGCCGACCUGAGAGGGUGAUCGGCCACACUGGAACUGAGACACGGUCCAGACUCCUACGGGAGGCAGCAGUAGGGAAUCUUCCGCAAUGGGCGAAAGCUUGACGGAGCAACGCCGCGUGAGUGAUGAAGGUCUUCGGAUCGUAAAACGCUGUUAUUAGGGAAGAACAAAUGUGUAAGUAACUAUGCACGUCUUGACGGUACCUAAUCAGAAAGCCACGGCUAACUACGU